This 466-nucleotide ribosomal RNA is filed under the name uncultured bacterium. RNAcentral's name for it is "partial 16S ribosomal RNA". It matches the Rfam family "Bacterial small subunit ribosomal RNA", at positions 28 to 507 of the family's 1533-position model. The record is from RNAcentral.
GAUGAACGCUGGCGGCGUGCUUAACACAUGCAAGUCGAACGGAAAGGCCCAAGCUUGCUUGGGUACUCGAGUGGCGAACGGGUGAGUAACACGUGGGUGAUCUGCCCUGCACUUCGGGAUAAGCCUGGGAAACUGGGUCUAAUACCGGAUAGGACCACAUUUUGGAUGGUGUGGUGGAAAGUUUUUCGGUGUGGGAUGAGCUCGCGGCCUAUCAGCUUGUUGGUGGGGUAAUGGCCUACCAAGGCGUCGACGGGUAGCCGGCCUGAGAGGGUGUACGGCCCAAUUGGGAACGAGAAUACGGCCAGGCCUCCAAGGGGGGCAGGAGGUGGGGAUAAUGGAACAUGGGGGCCAGGCUGAUGGAGGGGAGGCGGGGGGGGGGUGACGGCCUUCGGGUUGUAAACUCCUUUCGCUAGGGACGAAGCGUUAUGUGACGGUACCUGGAGAAGAAGCACCGGCUAACUACGUG